GACGAACGCUGGCGGCGUGGAUUAGGCAUGCAAGUCGGACGGUAGGGCUUUAUCGUAAGAUAGAGUUUGAGAGUGGCGAACGGGUGAGUAACACGUAGGAAUCUACCCUUAAGACGGGGACAACCCAGGGAAACUUGGGCUAAUACCGGAUGAGAGUGCGAGAGAUUGCAUUUAAAAGGAUGGCGAAAGUUGUCGCUUAGGGAUGAGCCUGCGGUCUAUUAGUUAGUUGGUGAGGUAAGAGCUCACCAAGGCGAUGAUAGAUAGGCGGCCUUAACGGGUGGUCGCCCACACUGGGAUUGAGAUACGGCCCAGACUCCUACGGGAGGCAGCAGUCGAGAAUAGUCUACAAUGGCCGGAAGGCUGAUAGUGCGACGCCGCGUGAACGAGGGAGCCCUUCGGGUGUAAAGUUCUUUUCUAUACGAGCAGUGCUACAUAUAUGGAUAGUAUAUAUAGAGGGAUAGUAGUAUAGGAAUAAAGCAACGGCUAACUCCGUGCCAGCAGCCG
RNAcentral lists this ribosomal RNA (504 nucleotides) under uncultured bacterium. RNAcentral describes it as "bacterial SSU rRNA". It matches the Rfam family "Bacterial small subunit ribosomal RNA", at positions 28 to 517 of the family's 1533-position model. The record is from RNAcentral.